Molecule: long non-coding RNA, 249 nt
Filed under: Homo sapiens (human)
Lineage: Eukaryota; Metazoa; Chordata; Mammalia; Primates; Hominidae
Description: HSALNT0130401
Source: RNAcentral
CUGACCUCAGCUCAACCUGUCUUGGGUUUUCUUCUCCUCCCUGACAUUGACAACCCAGCCCUCCUAGGCACAGAGAGAUGGAGCUGAGUGUGGUUUUCCUGAAAUAAAGCUUGCAUUAUGAGAGGGAAUAAACAGGGAAAUUGACCAUUGCUUCCAGACAUGUGUGGGAGUCCAGAACAUGCCACUCCAAAAGGAGGAUUGUCGAGCUGAAGACAAUUAAGAAGAAACAGAUGCAGGAAAGCUCUCUGC